GACGAACGCUGGCGGCGUGCCUAAUACAUGCAAGUAGAACGCUGAAGAGAGGAGCUUGCUCUUCUUGGAUGAGUUGCGAACGGGUGAGUAACGCGUAGGUAACCUGCCUGGUAGCGGGGGAUAACUAUUGGAAACGAUAGCUAAUACCGCAUAAAAUUGAUUAUUGCAUGAUAAUUAAUUGAAAGAUGCAACUGCAUCACUACCAGAUGGACCUGCGUUGUAUUAGCUAGUUGGUGAGGUAACGGCUCACCAAGGCGACGAUACAUAGCCGACCUGAGAGGGUGAUCGGCCACACUGGGACUGAGACACGGCCCAGACUCCUACGGGAGGCAGCAGUAGGGAAUCUUCGGCAAUGGGGGGAACCCUGACCGAGCAACGCCGCGUGAGUGAAGAAGGUUUUCGGAUCGUAAAGCUCUGUUGUAAGAGAAGAACGGGUGUGAGAGUGGAAAGUUCACACUGUGACGGUAUCUUACCA
This 475-nucleotide ribosomal RNA is filed under the name uncultured bacterium. RNAcentral describes it as "bacterial SSU rRNA". It matches the Rfam family "Bacterial small subunit ribosomal RNA", at positions 28 to 485 of the family's 1533-position model. The record is from RNAcentral.